Long non-coding RNA from Penaeus monodon (black tiger shrimp), 1455 nucleotides. RefSeq lists it as uncharacterized. The record is from RefSeq and is a predicted model, not a curated record. The transcript has 6 exons. Lineage: Eukaryota; Metazoa; Arthropoda; Malacostraca; Decapoda; Penaeidae.
AACAUUAACUAUAGUGCUACAUGACCUUAGAUGUCUAGCACAUUUAUCUUGCUUUUAACCAUUAACCAUUCUACGAAAAUUUUGUUUGUGGAUAAGAACUUUAUCAAGAUAUUUCUGCCCGUGCUCUUCCUCAAAGCCUUUUAAAUUUCUUGUAGGCAGAAUUAUUACAAUUACUUGAAACACUACAGUAAUGAUGAGACACCAUGCACCACACAGAUGGCCAUGUUGAGAUUUAAAUACCAAUAUCUGAUGACUUAAGGCUCAUAUUUGUAAGCAAUGGAAUGUGGGUAAUUUUUAACAGGCUUGUGUAUUUUUAGGUAUGAAUGAGCACAGCAGUAGCUACUGCUAGGAAAACAAGCUUCACCUGUAUCUGCCAGGCCACACCUAUAGCUGGCAUAGCAGACUCAUGCCGGGUACGGCUAUAGGCGUUGUGAUGCACUAGAGCGCAUCGAGUGGAAAGUUCCACAUGUGGACUCCCAGGCUAAUGGCAGGAUGGUUCCCAGAACUCACUGGAGUCAGUGAUGCCGAGAGAUUUCUGAUACCAUCAUUGAGGGGUUAAGUCUACUAGUCUGACAUGCCUACGAAGGACUAAGUGGCUGUACUGGAGGUCUGGCAAGAUUACAUCAGGUUGAUGUGCAGUAGAGCUGGCAAAUGUCCAGUUGUCAAGGGCUUCUACAUAAAACCCAAGCAUUGUAAACCUUCUUACACCUGUGCAUAUUGUGCAGACUUCAGCCAUGGUAGAAAUUGCAUUGCUGUACUGCCAGUGAAAGUAACUGCUCCUGUGUACCUAGACUGACAUGCCUACUCCUGUGUACCUAGACUGACAUGCCUUCAAAUGACCAAAAUGGCUUAUACUUCAAGGCAAGUAAGGUAACAUCUAUCAGUUGAAUAAGCUGUUGAAUUGGGGAACCUCCUGUCACAGAAAGAAUGUGCACAUGGUAAAGCCAGAAGGCACUGAGCUUUCUGCUAGUUUUGGCAAGGUAUGAGCAUUGCAUUACCUAGAUGAAUUAUCACUGGUUUACUUUGACUGAGAUUCCAACAAAAAAUUGAAGGCAGUGCUGCAAGGUCACAGGAUCCAUUUAACAUGCUUUGUGGAGCCUGUAAACAACAAUGUCAAAGGGAUGCACAUGUGGCAAACCCACGACCUACUAUGAAUCUUCGUGUAGUGAUUUGGUCACUUCCCUCAUCAUUAGAAGAGCCUAAGGAGUCGGAGUGCUCUGAUAAAAGGUGUUGUUAGUUGCACCAGUCUCAUUACUGCAACUUUCAUGGAGAUUAGCAGCCUUGUAACCUGUGGAAGCAUCAUGUUGCCUAGGUCGAUGCUCUCCAUUCUCCAUAUCACUUGCUUGUAUUAUAGUUUUGAAGUAUGGCCAUCAGCCAUUCCUCAUGUAAAUCAUGGUGAGGAAUAAGAAAUUGACAAUUUAUUUUGUAUAGAUUUAUAAUAAAUAUUAUAUUGUA